GCGUGGAUGAUGAAGGCCUUCGGGUUGUAAAGUCCUUUUGGUGGGGACGAUGAUGACGGUACCCACCGAAUAAGCCCCGGCUAACUUCGUGCCAGCAGCCGCGGUAAUACGAAGGGGGCUAGCGUUGUUCGGAAUUACUGGGCGUAAAGGGCGCGUAGGCGGCUUCAACAGUCGGGCGUGAAAUGCCUGGGCUUAACCCAGGAACUGCGUUCGAAACUGCGAGGCUAGAGUGUGGGAGAGGAUGGUGGAAUUCCCAGUGUAGAGGUGAAAUUCGU
Molecule: ribosomal RNA, 275 nt
Filed under: uncultured bacterium
Lineage: Bacteria
Description: partial 16S ribosomal RNA
Rfam family: Bacterial small subunit ribosomal RNA
Source: RNAcentral